This is a long non-coding RNA of Chinchilla lanigera (long-tailed chinchilla), 5287 nucleotides long. Lineage: Eukaryota; Metazoa; Chordata; Mammalia; Rodentia; Chinchillidae. The record is from Ensembl.
GGCAGCGGGGUGCGGCGGAGAGCGCCCCCCACCAGCCCGCGCGCGGUCCUCGGAGCGCGCAGAUGGAGAAACGACCGAGCCGGGCGGUGGAGACGGCAGGGGCUCGGCGGGGGCGCGCGUCCGGCAGGGGCCGCCUUCCCGGAGUUCCUGAGAUGCGGGCGGUGGAGAAGCGGCGGCGAGCUCAGACCUGUCACAUCUCUCCGGACCGUUAAGAAUUUACCGAAAAAAAGAAAGAUGGUGUUUAAAUGUAGGUGUACGCUCAGGUACACACAUCCCAAGGCAGGUGCUCCUAAGAGGUAAAAUGGAAAAAGGUUUCGGGUUGGCCUCUCAUUCGGUAGCGGAUUUCUUUCUUGGCUGGGGAGGGAAGCGGCCCCUGUGCCUGAACCACAGGGGCGGCGCGGCGCCUUCCCUGGGGGACAGGAUCAGGACAGGGCGGAGAGAAGGGACCGCCGAGGAGCCCGGGCCAGCAUGGGAGGUGCUGAUGGUGCAGAACCUUGCUUGCCAACUCUACCCGAAUUUCGUAGUCUAAAGUAGAAGCCAAAGAGAUGAUUUUAUUUGUAAAUUCCAAAGAGGGAUUGACCACCGCAGGCUCCCAGUCCACCUCCCCGGAUGGUGGAGGCCGCGUUCCCUCUCCCUGUAAGGCACUCCACGAAGACGAACUUUUCACGGUGUCCAUUUUAUUCACAGGUGAAGGGCCGAAUGGUGCUCAGAGGAAAUAGCGGAGAGCACAGGAUGCAGUGGAACAGGAAGCCCUUGGGGUUUUGUGCCUUCGGAGUUCUUUGCACAGAUACGGCUUUGGACAUUGUGUGGGUGAGAUCAACACAAAACUGUACUGGAAAAUGUCCCCUAUGGGUCACACCAUUCAUAAUAUCUGGAGGGACUCAUGCAUUACAACUCCAUAAGCCAUGUAUAAAAAUGCAGAGAAAAAUCACGAAGUGGAAAGGCAAACAAUUUUAGUUCUGAUGUUAUCCUACUCACAAAAGGCAAUGAAAGCAAUAUUCAGACAACUGAGGUAUUAGGAAGAUCAUCAAAUUGCACCAUCAUGAAAUUAGAAGUGCUGAGGACUCUCUAGAAAGACCUGGAAUUAGAAGUUUUGAAUGAGAAAAAAAAAUAGAUAUGAAAUUGCAGUAGGAGUUGCCCAAUGAUAAUCUCUAAAUUUCAAAACAGGUCAAGAGCUAGGUGGAUUCUCAUGAAGAGGAUUUCUUCUGCAGAGGUUGUGCUGUGAGUUCAAAGAGGAAGGAGAAAAAUACAGAGCCUUGCUACUCCAAGCACAGAGAAAGAGAACUGAGGAGAAUCCUAGAGUGCCCAGUCCAGGACUUCAAGUUUGAGGAAGGCUGCAAAAUCCUCAGAAACCUCAGGUCAAGGAGCCAGCUGAAGUGUACCAUAGCAGCAGAGGACAUUUUAAGGAUUUGCCAUCCCUGGAAGGCAUGAGGCCACCCUACAAGAAAAGCAUCCAGGUGACACAUAGGAUGAGAGCAGAGGAGACACAAAGGUGGCAAAUGAACUGCAAAGUCAGUGUUGGAAGACAUCAGUUAAAUGUUUAUGUAAUUCUUGUACUGACUGCAAACUACUUGUCCUUCUGGGUACUUACUGGCACAUCCAGCAUUGCCAUUUAUUUAUAUAGUUGUUGGUCUCUUUGUCAGUAUUUUUGCCUUUCCAUCCUGGAUAUCCUUCCCAAACACUGCUAUAUGGUACUAUACUUAAUAUCAUCUAGAAUUGGCAGGUGGGUACAUGGAAGUUUACUUUGAAAAUUCACGAAUCCAGCUCCCUCAGAGGACCUGGUGAUUUGGAAAGAUACAAGGAGAUGUCUUUUCUGCGUGACCUGAAACAAAAGUGGUGAGUUUCUAUUCUCUUUUCUCUUUGCAGACCAUAGAUGGGAUUCCAUUUGACCAUUCAAGAGCUCCGCACCACUUCUAGUUGGGGCGAGAAACCAUAAGCACAGAGGAAAGGCAAUGCUCUUUGUCUCUGGAAUGCUUUUUCACAACCAAGAAAACACAUUUUUGUCUCAAGCUUCGUUAUUCCUGAGAAAGGCAGCAUAAUACAGCUGCAUUCAGAAAGAUUUGAUGUGAUUUCAUGUUUGUAUAAAUAACACUCUGGCUUCAUUUCACCUGUGUUUUCUAGAAAUCUGCAUUCUCCUCUCUUAGAUUUGGGAAUGAAACCUUUAUAACACUCUAUGGGAAAAAACAAACAGAUAAUGUUCUACAGUUCUUCACUGGUUUACGGUAUGCCUAUACCAGGGGGACUCCCUUCUAAAUUGUUCAGAGGACAUACACCCUUGGCAGCAGUGCAAAGACCGGUGGCCCCUAUAGCUGAUGUAUCCACCAUGCCUCUGUCUUCUCAAUCUGUCUAAUAGAAGGUUAAGGUAUGUGCUUUGGGGUUCCUUUUCCCAUUGUACAUAUCUCCUAAGGAUUGUUGGUCUCCAAAGUUUUCAGGUACUCUACAAUCUUAUCUUUUAUUUUGUGUAUCAUGGCCAGAAAUUUUUUCAUGACACAGGUUAGUCACCAAGGAGAAUGAGCAGAGAUUUUGGAGUCAGCCAGACAUGAAUCUGACUUUCAAGAGGUUGUCAUGCAGUUGAAAAAUGUCCACUGUGAUACACUCAGUGCUGUAGUUGGUAGAGACAGGCAUGUUUGUUGAGUGUAGUGGUGCAUCUCUGUGGGAGACAGGCAGGAGGAUCACAGUGUCAGCCCAGCUUGGGUAACUGUUCAAGACCCUGUCUCAAAAUUUAAAAUAGGGUGAGGCUAUUGUUCAGUGUGAAAGUUCUCAUUCUGUAGUACUGGAGGUAAGUAAGACAUCUUAGAGACAGUAGCAAGUUGUAUUUAAUGAAAAUGCACUUUCCCUCUGUGAAGCAUUAUUAUAAUUUGGGUAUAAUUUGAGUAUCUCCCCAAAGCCUACAGCGAAGGGUUUGAUUCCCAGAGUGAUGUACUAUGAAGUACUGUGGACCUUUAAGAAGUGGGGCCUUAUGGAAAGCCCUUAAGUCAUUGGGGGAGUGGCUUCAAAGGGGAUUGAGAGACGUUUGUCUCUGGAUCUCUUUCUGUUCCUAGCUUUAGGAGUGACUACUGGCUCCAACAAACAUCCCUGUUUUCGCCAUCCAGAAUCCUCCCCAGAGGUCUAAGCCAAUAAGGCUGCCUGAUCUCAGAUUUAAAUCUCUAAAGCUGUGAUGAAAACAAACAAUCUCUCUCUAUUAAGUUAGUUGCCUUGGGUAUUUACAUUGUAAUAGCUCAAAGCUAACAAAAGUAAGUGUUAUGUAAGGAGCCUUCCUUUCCCAAAGAGUUUUGUAAGAGGUGUUCUUAGGAGUUGGGCACCUCUUUGCUGCUCUUAACAAGCUUUAGGGACAAAAAAAGACACAGUGUAAAAGCACUGACUUUAGAUCCACAGGGGAUAAGUGCACCUAUAGUCCAUAACUUGUGUGCCACCCACCACCACCACCAUGAUAGCCUUCGUCAAGAAGUAGUAAUUGUUACUAUCUCAAAGCAGAUCUGAUCCCUCUGUUAUCGCUAAGAAAGUGUGUUUCAGAAAAAAAACCCUGCUCAUUGCUUUUAAAUUGAUAAAGAAGAAAGGAAAACACAUGCAAAUUCACUUAGAAGGAACAUCCACUGAAACCAUAAAAGCCAACAAUGCCCACCACUUGUGCAAUAGAUACUCCAGAGACUUCAGAAGGCUUAGAAAAUCACCGGACCUGUUCUUUGCACUGUUUUUUGAGACUCAUGCAAUUUUGGUGGAAAAUGAGAUUUAUUUAUACAAAAAGAGAAUGAAGGCUCAAAUAUGUAUUUAUGUUGUAUGUAAUUGUGUCAGUAUGUAGCUUGCAACCAGAGAGCAAAUAGUAAAGGGGAAUAAAAGAUUGACAAGAACUGAUUGGUGGUGAAAUUAUCAACUGACUCCAGUUUUCUUAGGUGUUAUCUGAGUAGCUUAAAAGCUAUAGUUUGAUUUAAUAUCACUAAUGUCAAAGACAAACAAGCAAGAAAAUUGAUUUUAGCCAAGAAUAGUGAUAUAGAACUCUAAUCCCAGCACUCUGGAGGCUGAGGCAUGAGGACUGCUGUGAAUUGGAGGCCAGGAUUACAUAGUGAAUUCAAGGUAAGCCUCCUAAACUACAUGGCAGGAGCUCAUCUCAAAAAAAAAAAAAAAAAAAAAAGAAAGAAAGGAAAAGAAAAUUGAUUUUAUUCAGGCUAUUACAAUAAAAUGAUGUCCCCAAAUGUCUCAGCAUCAUGGUUGAUCUUUUGACUCUCAUAGGGAGGAACUUGGGUGAUUUAUUCUUGAGGUUGCUUGGCAGUCAGGUGAAGUCUCAGGAAGUUAGCUGAAAAGGAAAUGUUCCUCUCUGUUUCUGCUAGUUUCAGGGGCAAGGACAGUUCUAAUCUUAGAUCAUCAUUUAUGACAGAAAGUUGAGGAACUUGGAGUCUGGCUUUUUCAGUUAGGUCAAGAAAAAAAAGGUCUGAGUUUAUCUUUGUCAUUAGUGCACAAGAGAGUCACUCUGAAAACAAAAAUUGGGGGAGUAGAUUUGUUCAGCAUCAUUUUCUUUUCCUAGGACCUUGACACAUAAUUUUAUGGUUCUGUUUUGAGCAUUACAGGAAUUUGUGUUAAUAGUUAUUAGUAAAAAUAAGGAUGUUAAUAUCCCUAUAUAUUUAUGCUUCCUUUUUCCUUAUGUGGGAAAUAAAAAAUUAUCCCAAAUCUUUAGUACCUAUGAAAAAACAUAAAAGAACAUAAGAAUUCCACAGGGAACUAGAUAAAAAAUAUAUCUGAAUUUGACAAAACAUUCAGCAAACUGAUAUCUUAAAAGUUACGGAUAUUUUAGAAUUUAGAAGCUACAAAACUAUAUCUCAGUAAAUCCCUUAAAACCAUUAAUAUAACCCUACAUUACUUAUAAAAAACAAAUUGUGUCAAGGUUUUUGUUGUUUUUCUUUAGAGCUUUUCUAACAUUUUUUAUUGUUUAUAUACGAUUAUUUUUAACAACCUUCUGUCUUGAAUAUAGAAUUUUUAGAAUAUUUGACUAGUAUAUUUAACCAAUCAUUGUGUUUAUACAUGCUUGUGUGAGGGGUGUGUGUGUAUAUGUGUGUGUAUGUGUGUGUGUGUAUCUUUGUAUUACCUGUGGAACAAGGAAAAAUAGGAAUUAAAUUAUGUAUAUGAAUUGGAGGAAACAAGACACUGCACAGUAAUGAUUAGAUUCCAAACAACUGAAAGACAGAUGCCAGAAACAAAACUCUGCAGGCUUAUUUCUCCAAAAGAAUUGGAUAGAGUUGGAAAGUACAAAAUUGAUCCCCUCAGAGAGCAGUCAGGCCCGCUCGAUCCCACUGUU